Molecule: ribosomal RNA, 863 nt
Filed under: uncultured archaeon
Lineage: Archaea
Description: bacterial SSU rRNA
Rfam family: Archaeal small subunit ribosomal RNA
Source: RNAcentral
GGACCUUACUGCUAUCGGGAUGAGANUAAGCCAUGCAUGUCGAGCGCUCUCAAGCUAUGUAGAGAGCGCGGCGAACGGCUCCGUAACACGUAGUUAACCUACCCUCGGGAUGGGGAUAACCCCGGGAAACUGGGAUUAAUACCCACUAGAUGAUUAUACCUGGAAUGGCUUAUCAUCGAAAGAGUCUGGAAACAUGCUUCCAGCGUCGCCCGAGGAUGGGACCGCGUCCGAUCAGGUUGUUGGUGGGGUAACGGCCUACCAAGCCUAUAACCGGUACGGGCCCUGAGGGGGGGAGCCCGGAGAUGGAAACUGAGAAAGGGUUCCAGGCCCUACGGGGUGCAGCAGGCGCGAAACCUCCACAAUGCGCGAAAGCGUGAUGGGGUUAUCCCGAGUGCCGUCCGAUGAGGAUGGCUUUUCAUCGGUGUAAGGAUCCGAUGGAAUAAAGGGGGGGCAAGACUGGUGUCAGCCGCCGCGGUAAUACCAGCCCCCUGAGUGGUAAGGACGAUUAUUUGGCCUAAAGCGUUCGUAGCCGGCUUAUCAAGUCUUUUGUUAAAUCCAACGAUUCAAUCGUUGGGCCGCAAAAGAUACUGUUAUGCUAGAGGACGGGAGAGGUCGACGGUAUUCCAGGGGUAGGGGUGAAAUCCUAUAAUCCUUGGAGGACCACCAGUGGCGAAGGCGGUCGACUAGAACGUGCCUGACGGUGAGGGACGAAAGCUGGGGGAGCGAACCGGAUUAGAUACCCGGGUAGUCCCAGCCGUAAACGAUGCGGGCUAGGUGUUGGGGCAGCCACGAGCUGCUCCAGUGCCGCAGAGAAGUUAUUAAGCCCGCCGCCUGGGGAGUACGGCCGCAAGGCUGAAACUUAA